RNAcentral lists this unclassified non-coding RNA (612 nucleotides) under Hevea brasiliensis (rubber tree). Lineage: Eukaryota; Viridiplantae; Streptophyta; Magnoliopsida; Malpighiales; Euphorbiaceae. The record is from RNAcentral.
GAUAAAAUGAUAAAUAUCAUAAUUGUCGAGAGUAGUCUUAUUUGUCUCCAUAGGAGCAUAGCACAAGUUUCUUCAAAUGCUACACAUAGAUUAUAAGGGUUUUUUUAAGCACACAUGACAUAUAUGAUAGGAUGAAAUCUGGAAUUCGUCUCGACGUCCUUUUAGCCAGGUGGCCAGUUCAUCUGUCGUCCCCCGAGAAGGUGAAGGUGAAGAUGGUAAACAGAUUGGCAUCCAUCAGGCCCAUCGUUGAUCACGAGUCUGAAUCCAUUCUCUAGAAGACCUUCCUGUUUGGCUACAAGCUUUGCUGUGUAGAGAAGUCGACCAAGAACAUCACAGUUCUUUUCUUCAGCCUUGGAAAGUCCGGUUAAGCCAUCCCUGACCUUGGGAAUAAGCAGAAUGUGCACAGGAGCUUGGGGAUUUAUGUCUCUGAAAGCUAAAACCUUGUCAUCCUCAAAUACAAUAUCUGCUGGGAUUUCCUUGUUAAUGAUCUUGUCAAAUAUGGUAGGAGAAUCUGAAGGAACAGCAAGAAGAGCAGCUUCUUUCUCAGAAGCCAUGGCUGACUUCUUGUGAUGAGUGAAGUGUGAAGUCCGCCGGAGAAAGAGAGUCGAAGCU